UAGGGAAUCUUCGGCAAUGGGGGGAACCCUGACCGAGCAACGCCGCGUGAGUGAAGAAGGUUUUCGGAUCGUAAAGCUCUGUUGUUAAGGAAGAACGAGUGUGAGAAUGGAAAGUUCAUGCUGUGACGGUACUUAACCAGAAAGGGACGGCUAACUACGUGCCAGCAGCCGCGGUAAUACGUAGGGGGCUAGCGUUGUCCGGAAUCACUGGGCGUAAAGGGUUCGCAGGCGGAAAUGCAAGUCAGGUGUAAAAGGCAGUAGCUUAACUACUGUAAGCAUUUGAAACUGAAUAUCUUGAGAAGAGUAGAGGUAAGGGGAAUUUUUGGUGUAGCGGUGAAAUGCGUAGAUAUUAAAAAGAAUACCGGUGGCGAAGGCGACUUACUGGGCUCAUUCUGACGCUGAGGAACGAAAGCGUGGGUAGCAAACAGG
RNAcentral lists this ribosomal RNA (429 nucleotides) under Bacteroidota bacterium. RNAcentral's name for it is "Bacteroidetes bacterium partial 16S ribosomal RNA". It matches the Rfam family "Bacterial small subunit ribosomal RNA", at positions 355 to 776 of the family's 1533-position model. The record is from RNAcentral. Lineage: Bacteria; Pseudomonadati; Bacteroidota.